Long non-coding RNA from Rhinichthys klamathensis goyatoka, 1367 nucleotides. RefSeq lists it as uncharacterized. The record is from RefSeq and is a predicted model, not a curated record. NCBI's taxonomy places the organism in Eukaryota, Metazoa, Chordata, Actinopteri, Cypriniformes, Leuciscidae. The transcript has 3 exons.
UAGCCGGUUUAUGAGGCGACAGAGUUGUGUGACCAAACUAUGACAACACACACAGAUAAAACAUCAGUUACACACAUAACGUACAUCCUUCACUCCUCAUCAAGGUUUUUGUAAGAAAGUGAAAAGGAGAGAAAGAAUGCAUUUGUUUUCAUGUGAAUGCACAUGAUUGCAUACUGUAAUUAUUGCCUAAAAAUGACAUAAGCAGCAAUAGAUUGUUAUACAAGCAUCAGUUCUGCCCGCUGGCUUGGUCUCAGUGCCCUAAAUUGUAAGAUAGCAGAACGGAAUUGAUCGAGUGUGAACAGAAAUCUACCAUGAAUCUAGUCCACAUACAUCAUUUCUGGGAUAUAAAUAGAAGAUGAGCGGUAUUUGAUUUAGUCUUCAUUCUUUAGGUCGGUUUUGUCUGAAUGUAUAUCAGUCGUUCAGUGUUCCAUGUUUUAGUGAUGUUUUUGUUUUUUAUUUGUUUGUUUGUUGGUUUGUUUAUGUCUGGUUGUUUUUAUUGGUUGCCCACAGUAUAAAUUAAAAUAUGGCCAUUACAGAAUCAACAUACAUUUCAGAAGCGCUACCAGUUUUAGUAUCAUAAUUAUAAAGCUCAAAGCAUUUUUUUUUGUGCAUUUCAUUUUGUGUAAUAUAAGGCCUCUGAUAAAUGGUUGCUAUAGAUAUGUGCACAUGCAGGCGGAAUCCAUUUAGGACAGCAUCGCUCGUGCGGUUUAUUCAUUGCAUAAGUAUUAAAUUGCAAAUAGUAUAGUCAUUUAGCCAAAGCGAUGUACAAUGUAAGACCAUUGCCCUGUGGUUAAAUACUCAAGGGUUUCUAUCAGAGAUCAAAUGUGAACUUUCUGUUACCAGCCCAUAGCUAUAACUACAAGGCUGACAUAACCUCCCUGUUUGCAAAUAAUCCCUCUAAUUUAGUUGAGAGAGCGAGUCUGAGUGAGUGAGUGAGUGAGUUUAGGGGUAGGGUUAGUGUAAAGGGAGAGAAUAUACAGUUUGUACAGUAUAAAAAUCAUUAUGUCUAUGGAAAGUCCCCAUAAAACAUGGCAACCCAACGUGUGUGUGUGUGCGUGCGUGCGUGUGUGUGAGAGAGAGUUUAUGUACAUAUUUUGUAUGUAUAUUAUCACAUGCGUUUAGACUGGUAGCAGAGACUCUUUAGAAGAAUAAAAAUAUGCUUUUAUAUACGAAACAGGAGACAUAGUUAUUUAUCUAUGAUAAAAUACAUAUAAUUUAUUUUUUUUCUUAAAUGGAUCACUUACUGUCUUUGGAAAUUCAAGAUCAACUUGUCAUUGUUAUACAUUUAUGUUGCUUUGAUAUGGAAUAAACAGUGUGUGCAGAUUUUACCACAAUUAUUAUUCAUAAUAAACAAACCUAAAACCAUA